Molecule: ribosomal RNA, 402 nt
Filed under: uncultured Brevundimonas sp.
Lineage: Bacteria; Pseudomonadati; Pseudomonadota; Alphaproteobacteria; Caulobacterales; Caulobacteraceae
Description: bacterial SSU rRNA
Rfam family: Bacterial small subunit ribosomal RNA
Source: RNAcentral
UGGGGAAUCUUGCGCAAUGGGCGAAAGCCUGACGCAGCCAUGCCGCGUGAAUGAUGAAGGUCUUAGGAUUGUAAAAUUCUUUCAGUAGGGACGAUAAUGACGGUACCUACAGAAGAAGCCCCGGCUAACUUCGUGCCAGCAGCCGCGGUAAUACGAAGGGGGCUAGCGUUGCUCGGAAUUACUGGGCGUAAAGGGAGCGUAGGCGGACAUUUAAGUCAGGGGUGAAAUCCCAGAGCUCAACUCUGGAACUGCCUUUGAUACUGGGUGUCUUGAGUGUGAUAGAGGUAUGUGGAACUCCGAGUGUAGAGGUGAAAUUCGUAGAUAUUCGGAAGAACACCAGUGGCGAAGGCGACAUACUGGAUCAUUACUGACGCUGAGGCUCGAAAGCGUGGGGAGCAAACA